Molecule: long non-coding RNA, 502 nt
Filed under: Mus spicilegus (steppe mouse)
Lineage: Eukaryota; Metazoa; Chordata; Mammalia; Rodentia; Muridae
Description: lncRNA (ENSMSIG00000001804.1)
Source: RNAcentral
UGUGAAUGUACGAUUGAGAGCAAUCACUCCUUACUCACUGCUUCACUUGACUUCAGUGUACAUCUCCCUAAAAUUGCUGUCUUCUCUCCUCCCUUGCCUUCUCUGCAGAUAACACAGCUUGUUGUGUCUAUGGAUUGACCACUUAAAAAUCAUUUCCACUAUCAAAAACAUGCCAAGAAUUUUUGGGCUUGUUGCUUGGCUUUUACCUUUUAACGGAGACAUUUUAAGGUAAACCCAAAAUUAAGCUGUGCACAACUGGAGAUUUGGCGUGAGUUAUAAAUAACUCCCUCCCAGACAUUUUGGAAUGCUCUCUGCUGAAGAACUUAGAACAUACAUGUUCAUGGGCAAGGUUUACAAAAGGAUUCCAGGAAAUAACCUUCUCACAACUGAAAGGAAAAUGAACUUCACACACAUUUACUUCUUAGCCCCACUGUUUUGAUCUUCGUCAUUCCUCUUACCAUUGCAAAAUAAAUGCCCACCUAAGCAACCUGUAUCUCCUUUG